AAAUUAGCAAGUUCGCACAAUAAGCGAAAUUUAUAUCUAUAUUGGGGAUUUGCCAAUAUACUCAUAUGGCAUAUGGGUGAAUUUAUCUGCACUAUUUCGGUCACCAAGUGGAGCAUACUACUCACAACGAAUUUUGGACAAAUUAUCAAACCCCGCAACACAAUUUGACUAUUAGGACAUCACUUUAUGGGUAAUGCGAGACAGCCACAAAGCAAAGAAUCAUAACUUAUUUUAUUCGGUGUGAUUUGCAUAAUUCGAUGAAAAUAUGGAAGAUCAAAUAAUGACACGAAAUACUCAGGGGGACUGAGAUUUUAUAGUCAAAAAAUAAAAUAGAUCAUUCCAUAGAGGAAUGGACAAAAGCCCCCUUGGUAUUUUCAACUACUGUUGUUCUUAAAUGAACAAGAUGUACCCAGGGCAGCGAUUUCCAACCUAUCGGACGAGGAAGAAAUAAAUAACACUGCAACAGCGUGAAUCGAAGGGUAUGUGGAUUAUUCAACAAGUCGGCUUCACUGAACGCAGCCAAUUCAUUUGCAGUUAUCAAUUUUUCUAGUUCUCAAUUUUUUAGCACUGUAGCACUUAUGCACUUGCCCCCUACUUCUGAUUUUAUCUCAGUCUCUGUUAUUGAUUGGUGUAUUAAAAUUAAUCAAUAUUUAGAUACAUUUUCUCUUCGUUUGCAUAAUUCAUUGUAAUUUUUCUUUAUGAAAAUAAUCAUCUUCAGAGAAAUGUAGUGAACAAAUUUUCAUGUAUUCUUUUUCCAAAUAAACGUUGAUUUUCUCUUUGUUCAGAAAAAUGAUUGGAGACAGAAGAUGAGCUUUCAUUCAUACACUGCAACAGUUAUUGUAUGAAAGCACCAUUUCGAAACAAUAAAAUCGAAGAAUUUUAUCGUUGAAUGAAAUUGAAACAAAUUUGGAAGAGGGUUGAAGGAACGCUAUAAACUGAAAAACAAUGAAAUAAUAAUCUAUUAUAGAAUAUCACAAAAAUUAUGAAAAUGAUGCAAAAGCUCAGAAUUAAACAAUUAGUAUAGGAAAUGUUUUGGCAUCCACUUUUUCAAAUGCAAUGUGAUAGUGUGUAAAAUAUUUCUUGUAGAAAGAGUUGUAUGUUGUAGCACAACCUGUUUAUUAAAUUAAUGUAGAGCUUUUUAUAGUGUCAUAAACUAUGUUCUAAUUUUCGUUUUUUUUUUAAAUGGCAAUCAAUAUUCAAUAAUGCAUGGAAGGGAAUUUAAAAAGACAUAUAAAAACUUAAGGUGUAUUUAAAAAAAUCACAAUAUACUUUUAAGUACAAAACAUGACGAAAUAAAAUGGAAUGUAUAAAAAUUGCACUAACUAAACAUACAUAAUCCUAAGUACAGUACGGUUCAAGUCACAAAAAUGAUAAAAGUCUCCUAAAAUUACAUUUAAAUAUUGAGAUCUUAUAAAAUAGUUUUGACUAAGUCUAUCUCUUGACACAAAUUUUUGAUUUUUCAAUUUCAUUUAUACAAAAUACGAUGUGAUAUAUUAAAAAGCUUCUUAGGCACGAUUUUUUACAAAUAUUACGAAAAAUAGGUUCCUUAUUAGGCAAAAAUAAAUAAAGGGCACGUAAACUUUUCAAAAAGUCUUUUUCUCAUACACUAGAAAAAAAUUGCUUAACUACUCAGAUUACAUUUAUUGUAUAUGAAAUAUCUUCGUAGAUGAAAGCUCACAAAGGAUAUUAGUCUAUUGCCCUUUUAUAAGGAAGGAGAGGAUAAUCUCCCACAUAUGUGAUUAUACCAACCAUAGCAAUUUUAAUCACAUAGGUACUACCCAAUUAAAUAAAUAAUUUAUGCUUCUAAAUGUUCUUGACUUUAGGUCUCUACUGGUUAGUUUCAAAAUAUUUUGAUAAAGACUAAAAGAAGUAGAAACUUCAAAUUUUCAUCUGUCUUUAAAAAAUUUAGAAGAAACUAAUUUUAAAUAAGACUUAAAAUCAAUAACAUUUAGAAGCAUAAAUAUAUCAAAAGGUCUAAGAACAAAGAAAUUAAAGAAAUUUAAAUAAUUUAUUAGAUUUGAACCAGACCAGUCUUUUAGUACAUAAAAUUAUCAAAAUGGAUGAAAAAUUGAAAAUAACCGUGAAAAUUCGAUUUUCUUUAUACUAUGACGAACAAUUGAGAAAGAUGUACUGGUUCAUAACACCCGGUGUUUUGCGAAUUUAAUUAUUUAACAUGAUUUAAUAUUCGGUGUGUAGAAGCAAAAUUACCAAAUAAUUUGUGACACUGUAGUUAUUGGCGAUGGUUUAGGCUGAUAUGUUUUUAGUGUUUAGGGCUUGUCUGAGAAUUGCCAGGUGCUUCUAGUAAAAUCAUUUAUUUACAAAUUCCUACUUCAGAUUUUAUAUCAAUAUAUUAUAUAUAAUAUUAAUUAGUCACAAUCACAAAAAGAUUUUAUUCCUGUAUAGUUGUAGAUGUUCCGAAACAUAAGAAAUUUUGUGCAUUAUCAUAAAAAAUUAAUCAAAACCAAAACGUGAUUUUUCCCAUACAAAACACAACAACCAUCGAAUUUGGAAAUUUUUUGAAAGCAUGACAUCAAUUUAGUAUGUUCAAGAGAAGCUACAGCAAACGCAAAUACAACAUUCGAUGGAGUCUUUGUAAUAUUCUGCUCUCAAAAUUAAAACUUUUCAUAGAAACUUCUCUUUAUAAAUUUAUAUUUGUGUUAAUAUUUACUGAUUGCUAAUAUAAUUGAAUACUAUAUGUAAAAAAAUUAAUCCCUUUGCUUUUUUGACAGUUUAAUAAUUGAUAUUUUGCUGCUGGAAGACAAGCUGGUCAAUUCGUUGAUUAUGAAUAUGGUAGUGUUUCUAGUAUAGUUAUUAAGCAAUGAGUGUCUUCUCCAAUUGUUUGUCAACGUACAGUUCGAAAAUAUGUAUUUUGGAUGUACUCAACAGUAUUACUUCUAGUAAUUCUCUAAAUAGUCUUGCCUUUUGUGUGCUUUCAAAUCUACGAAAUUUUUAACACUAUUUAAAGUUGAAAAUGAUGUUUGAUCAUCUCUCGUCUGAAUGUAUGUAUAAUAGAUAUUUAUUUUGUAAGAUUGUUUUCUUUAGUGAAUAAAAUUUAUCUAAAAUACUUGUACAAUAAAACGUUUUAUUCACAAUCACAUUCAUUUAGAAUCAGAUUCGCACAAAUUUUGACAUUUUGCUCUGAUUAUGGAGGGUAGAUGUAAGGAGAUAUCAAUUUAAAAUUAAUACUUUAUAGGUAAAGAACACGAACUUUUACUGUAUAAUUUUUACAUUUAGGGAAAUACAAUUUUAUUCCUUAAAUUUGUAAGCAAAGAUGCUUUGAGAAGGGCGUGAUAUAGAAAUAUAAUUUUUCUCUUUUCAAUCUUGUUCUAUUCUAUUAACUUUAGGCGCUAUGUUACAGAUUUCCCUUAUUUCUACUCUCUAUAGCUCUGAUAAUAGCUUUCACUUUAAAGUAAGAAAAACAUUUUUCUAAUACUAAUUGUUCCUUACAAUAAAAGAUAUACAUUGAUUCUACAGGCACUAUGCUUUCGACAACCAAUGGCUCUACAAGCUUGUUAAUGGAAACGAAGUAAAAUAUAAAAUGAAUAAGUAAAUUCUGAGUGAUCAAGAUUAUAUAUAUAUUUGAUUAUUCUACUUGUUAAAUAAAGUUACUUCAUUAUUAUGAUAUAAACUGAUACUUUAUAUUGUUUAUAAAGUGAUUGUGAAUAAUGUUAUUUUCUAUAAUUUGCAGCCAUGAUUUUGAUUUAAGUUUGAAAAUAUUUCUAUUAUUUGAAAUGGGUCAAACUUCAUUUUUUUUUUCUUCGAAUAAUAUAAAUCAUUUAGUAAGGCAUAAAACAGGUUUGUACCAGUAUUUUUUUGUUAGAAAACAAGCAACAUUUAUAUUAUUCCUCAAAUACAGAAUCAUAAAUGUUUAUACUGAAAUUCCUGUGGCAAAAAGAUUUCUACAAAUAGGCAAAUAUUUUUUUACAUAACCACUAUUAAAAAUUGUGCUAUGCUAAUUUUUAGAAUGCCUUCACGUUAAAAUUUAACGAGUAAAGCUUGGUUUAUGCAAACAAAAUUAAAAAUUACCAUUAAACUAACAAAACUUGUUGAAAGACACAAUAGUACUUGUUCAUGCAGAAAAUUAACAUUAACUUUAAAUUAAAUCAAACUAAGAGUUUUAACUUCUUAGUUUAAUUAUUUAAUUUUGUGAGGUGAUGAACACAGAAUACGUCAGAUCAGUCUGUAUUGGUGGUAUUUUUUGUAUACAACAUCCUUCUUCUUUGGUUAUGGAAAUAUUAUUCGCCUUAUUGCGCCGCUUUCCGCCGUGGUGUUUUAUUUUUAAAACUGAUAUUAAAAAAAUGGGAAAGAGCAAUGUCUGAAAGUUAGGAAUGUCUUUUAGACGAUGGAACACUGAUAGACAGUGUCAGGAGCCUUCCGCAUUUGUAUAACAAAAGGAACUCAUACAGGUUUUAUUGGUUUACCUGUAAUUUAUAAUAAUCCUUAAUUUACUACAUAAACCAAAAACUUAACAAAAAAGUUUAAUUCAAUGUUAAUUUAGUUUUAAUUUUGGCUGCAUAAACCCAGAUAAAUUUGGUAUAUAGUAUCAGGACCGAGCCUAGGGUAUCCACCGCCCGGGUGCAAGAACAAAAUGUGCCGCCCUAUUAGCAUACCUAGUCGAAAUUUGAUUAGUGAGGCGAGAUAUGUCUAGUCUAGUUUUUGGGGCAAGCGGCUUAUUCUUUAUUAUUACCUAUUUAUUAUCUUUUUUACGCCGCCCGAUUCGCCCCAACGCUCAACGCAUAUUUUGGUAUUGUUGUAAUAAUAAGAAAACAAUAUUUUUGCAUUAUAGGGUUCUGUUAUUUUUUUAGAGACAUUUUGCCUUUUCCCGCCCGGGUGCCAUGCACCCCCGGCACGGCUCGACCCUGUAUUGUAUUAAAUGUGUUGAAAAUGAAGACGUAUAAGGCUACAAGUAUAAGUUAUGGAAAAGUAGGUUACCUACGGCAGUAUUGAUAAAUGGAAUAAAUAUUGACCAAAACAAUUGAAGUAUUUAAACAAAUUUUUGAAAUUUUUCCGGAAUGGCACUGAAAAUGAUUUUUAUUCCUAAUUAUAUGUUAAUAUCGUGCUUUAAAUUUUUUGUAUGAACAAGAUAAUAAAAACCUCAAUUUUUUGAUUUCACAACAAUUUGAUGCAAUUAUUUAAAGCUUUAACAAAAUAUUUGAUUUGGGCAACAAUGAUGAAUAUCAAGACACCAAUUUAUCAUUAUAUUCUGAUUUAAUUCAUUAUAUGGAUUACAUAAGGUGGUCUAGAUUAAUGUUUAUCAAUUUCUAGAGCCGAUAGUAAAUUUAAAAAUAUUAGUCCUUUUUAUGUACAUUUUGGUCUAGAUGCUAUAUCUAUAAGGAGAAAACAUGUGUGGAAGCUGACUGAAGUAAUUAUGAUACCUAAGCCCAAAGACUCUUCUACAAGAUAUUGGUCGGUCUACUUGCAUUAACCACGAAUUAUCCAAUUUUGUGAAGUCACAAAUUGUCCAUUCGAGGAUUGAGGAUAAUAUUUCUAAGCUAAAUUACAGCUGUUUUAGUAUUUUAUGUCGAAUCGAGUGUAUAAAUUUUGCAGUAAAGGUAAGUUAUAUAACAAUUUUUUUUGUUUCUGUUACUUUACAAUAACAAGUUGUUUUGCAGGACCAAUUGCAAGAUAUCAGUCUCAUUUUGUGCUGUAUUUGGAUGUAAAUGGAACUGUAAAAAGACAGGAAUUUACAUGAAAAAAAUCUCAUUAUUUAUGAUUGUUGUUUGUUAAAAUUUUACAUUUACAGUCUUGCCUUGAAAUUUAGUUCUAUUCAUUCUAUUCUUUGUGGAAGAGUCUUCUAUCUAAACCGGGGAAACUUGAAACUUGUCUAUCAUCAGAAUAUUUUAAUGAAAAUAAUUGAGCCGAUUUUGACAGAAAAGUUUAAGACAAACACUCUACACUUGAGCAGAUACAUAGAAUAUCAGAUAUAACUGAAAGGUCACAUUAAGACGGGACGAUAUGUUACCGUAUUUUUAGAUAUAUCCCAGGCAAUUGACAAAAUCUAGCAUGCUUGCUACAAUAUACAAUACAAAUGAUAUUUUCAAAGCAAAUUUCCUAUAUACGCCUCAAUAUACCUUUAUGUCUUCAAGUGACCUUUAAAUUAUAUUUAAUGUUCUAAGUACCUUCUCAAGGGUAGAGUGUUUCCAUUCCAAAUUGAUGAUCUGGUAUUAUAUGUUUUUUCUCCAAAACCGGUUUAAUUAUUUUCUUGAAAAUAAUGGAUACUAGUGAGGUAAGUCUGUAUAACGUCAAUUUGAUUUUCGGUUUCCCUGGUUUAGGUACCAUAAUAAUUUCAGCUAUCUAUACAUCAGAACAUAUUUUAGGCUUGAGUUUUGGUUUUUAUUAAAUUACGCUGACUUUUCGGUGACGAUUUCGUCCUUAUUCAAUCUACUAUGGAGAUAAAGAGUGGGUUCUAUUAAACUUCGAAUCGAAUCAGACACGAUUAUCCGUUGAAAAAAUUCCAUAAGAAUCAGAUCGUGUUUGAUUUCAACUGAAUAUUUCGUGGUAGUUAUUGUUUCCGAUGUAGUAAAUGAAGAAAAAUACCAAAAUAUCUUGGAAACAAUACAUUAAGCUGUUAUUUUAAUCUGUAGAUGGUGAACAUUUAAUUCAAAUAGUUUUUCUUUGUAUCUAUUUUUACAAUUGACUAUACUGGUACUAUUGUGGACAUCAUGAUUUUUAUUUCAAAUUUUAGUACAAACAGAAAUAAUCAUUUUGCUAUAACGGAAGACAAUCCAUAAAAAUCGAUUUGGAAGGAUUUUCCGUGUUACCUUAGCGGAAUUUUCCUUAACGGAAUUCAAUAAAAACGGAAACUUUUUAGUUGCAGUUAUCAAGUGUAUCAGUUUUUGUACAGCUAUUUUUGGUUUAUGCUACUGAAAUUAAGUCUUUAGCUGAUGUUUUUUUUUAUAUUGAUAUUCUCUUUAAUCUCUUUAGCUACUUCUUUCGGUGUCUGAUUCUUGGAAACAUCUGUAAAAUUUUCUUUCUCACUUUUUCGGUUUAUAUAUGUCUUAAAAAAAUAGGUUUUUUUUUUAGUUCAUGCUCCUGAAAUUAGGUCAUAUCGUGAUGAUUUCUUGAGAUUGAUAUUCUCUUUAGCUAUUUCUUUCGGUGUCGCUACCCUUGUAUCUGCUGAUUCUUGGGUACAUCUUAAAAAUUUUCUUUCUUACUUUUUCGGUUUACAUAUGUCUUAAAAAAACAAGGUUCUCAAUUUACUUAUAUUAAUGUAAAUAAUUCUGGACCACCUUCACCUGAUAUAUUAUCCUUCUUGAUGGCCAAGCGCCCAGGUAGGGCUGCUCUUUCUUUGUUUAGUUUGUUGAGGGUUUAAUACAAUGCAAUUGAAUAUUUUCAUAAAGAUUUGAACAAAUACAUAAAAGCAUUUGAUUUAAUUUUAAAUUAUCGACAAAAUAUUUAUCUUUCUCACUUAAAUUCGGAAUUUUGGAUUGUUUUAAAUUUCCACAGUCUUAUAUUGGAAUGUUUCAGUUAAGAAGAAUGUAUUUUUAUGAAGGACUAAAAGUCUCUCUCAACUAAAAUUAGAAGAAACCAUAUUUUUAACAACUAAUUUUAAAAUUUUUGGUUUGAGUAUAUAGAUUCUUUGAAAAAAACAUGGUUUCAAAUAUUCUUAUUGUAUAUAACUAAUUUGUUGCUAUUUAUAUAAAGCUGAGUAUUACAGGUAUAUAUUCUAAUUCUAUUUUCAAAGCGAAUAUAUAUAGCAGUGGUACAUAUUGUGGACAUAAUAACAACUAAUUUACAUGAUCAGAAUUCCAGUGACAAUUUUGGAGCGAAAACCUAUGGAAUCCUAACCAUAUAUAAUCUUAUAUAGUUUUGAAGAUCGUUCAUACAUGGAGUGAAGUAAUUGGUCCGUGAACAACGAAACAAAAAUUCAUCAAGUUUUAUAAUUUGAGAAUGAGUAAACUAUGAUCGCUAAAGAUGUAUAAGUUUAAUGAUUCAAAUUAAUGUUUGUUGCCGGUUUUUAUUAAAACCUUGUGGUAAUUAAAAGAAUUUGACGAUAAUUCACUUGUUACAAUCAGAAAAUUACGCUGUAGAGGUGCAGUGAGUUUAAAAAAAUGCAAUUUUGCCACCAUCCAUACAAAAUAUUUGUUUCUAAUUUCACGUUUUACACCAAGCCGCUAUAUUUUAAAAAAUAAUUUAAUAAAUUAAUUACAUGUACUGCAAGUAAAAUCAUGAUAUCAUUGGAAUUUUUUCUUAAUAUAUUUAAGUAAAUUGUAAUUUGGUUAUUUAAUCGUCUCAAAAUAAAUAAGCGAAUUUAAUCAUUUUGUUUUGACGUUUUCAUAAAACAAUGAAUUUAUAUCAAACUACCUGUAAUCACUUUAUUGCAAUUACCGAUAAUUGUUCACCAUCAAAUCUACUUUUAGCAAUUAUCUACCACUUAACUGUACAUAUGAACAUAAUUUACACAUUCUCAACUGAAAAAAUCAUGUUUUAAUAGAAUGUAUCGAUUCAGUAAUAAAAGAUCCUAAUAAAUUAUGAAUAAUAAAUAUUAGUACUUUCGGUUUAAUAGUCUCUUAAGUAUCAAUAUAUUAAAUUUUAUUUUUUGAAACGACGGAGAAAAAUAUUGAGCAUAAUCAAUUUUGUAAAAAUUACGAAAAAUACAUUAGCAACUGAAAAUAAACGCUAAACUGAU
Diorhabda sublineata is the source of this 8629-nucleotide long non-coding RNA. RefSeq lists it as uncharacterized. The transcript is spliced from 2 exons. NCBI's taxonomy places the organism in Eukaryota, Metazoa, Arthropoda, Insecta, Coleoptera, Chrysomelidae. The record is from RefSeq and is a predicted model, not a curated record.